This 253-nucleotide ribosomal RNA is filed under the name uncultured bacterium. RNAcentral describes it as "partial 16S ribosomal RNA". It matches the Rfam family "Bacterial small subunit ribosomal RNA", at positions 524 to 776 of the family's 1533-position model. The record is from RNAcentral.
UACAGAGGUCUCGAGCGUUGUUCGGAUUCAUUGGGCGUAAAGGGUGCGUAGGUGGCAUGGUAAGUCGGAUGUGAAAUCCCGGGGCUCAACCCCGGAACUGCAUUCGAUACUGCUGCGCUAGAGUACUGGAGAGGAGAUUGGAAUUUACGGUGUAGCAGUGAAAUGCGUAGAUAUCGUAAGGAAGACCAGUGGCGAAGGCGGAUCUCUGGACAGUUACUGACACUGAGGCACGAAGGCCAGGGGAGCAAACGGG